GACGAACGCUGGCGGCGUGCUUAACACAUGCAAGUCGAACGGAAAGGCCCUGCUUGCAGGGUACUCGAGUGGCGAACGGGUGAGUAACACGUGGGUGAUCUGCCCUGCACUUCGGGAUAAGCUUGGGAAACUGGGUCUAAUACCGGAUAGGAGCCAUCUUUAGUGUGGUGGUUGGAAAGUUUUUUCGGUGUAGGAUGAGCUCGCGGCCUAUCAGCUUGUUGGUGGGGUAAUGGCCUACCAAGGCGGCGACGGGUAGCCGGCCUGAGAGGGUGCACGGCCACAUUGGGACUGAGAUACGGCCCAGACUCCUACGGGAGGCAGCAGUGGGGAAUAUUGCACAAUGGGCGCAAGCCUGAUGCAGCGACGCCGCGUGGGGGAUGAAGGCCUUCGGGUUGUAAACUCCUUUCGCUAGGGACGAAGCUUUUUUGUGACGGUACCCAGAUAAGAAGCACCGGCUAACUACGUG
RNAcentral lists this ribosomal RNA (466 nucleotides) under uncultured bacterium. RNAcentral's name for it is "partial 16S ribosomal RNA". It matches the Rfam family "Bacterial small subunit ribosomal RNA", at positions 28 to 507 of the family's 1533-position model. The record is from RNAcentral.